GCGAUUGUGGCGAAGUGGUUAACGCACCGGAUUGUGGUUCCAGCAUUCGUGGGUUCGAUUCCCAUCAGUCGCCCCA
This 76-nucleotide transfer RNA is filed under the name Priestia megaterium. Its description in RNAcentral is "Bacillus megaterium tRNA-His". It matches the Rfam family "tRNA". Rfam says of the family: Transfer RNA (tRNA) molecules are approximately 80 nucleotides in length. Their secondary structure includes four short double-helical elements and three loops (D, anti-codon, and T loops). Further hydrogen bonds mediate the characteristic L-shaped molecular structure. tRNAs have two regions of fundamental functional importance: the anti-codon, which is responsible for specific mRNA codon recognition, and the 3' end, to which the tRNAs corresponding amino acid is attached (by aminoacyl-tRNA synthetases). tRNAs cope with the degeneracy of the genetic code in two manners: having more than one tRNA (with a specific anti-codon) for a particular amino acid; and 'wobble' base-pairing, i.e. permitting non-standard base-pairing at the 3rd anti-codon position. The record is from RNAcentral. Lineage: Bacteria; Bacillati; Bacillota; Bacilli; Caryophanales; Bacillaceae.